RNAcentral lists this long non-coding RNA (1747 nucleotides) under Homo sapiens (human). Its description in RNAcentral is "HSALNT0376586". The record is from RNAcentral. Lineage: Eukaryota; Metazoa; Chordata; Mammalia; Primates; Hominidae.
UUCAUGUCUCAAUGGAGCAGACAAAAUCAAGGAUAACUGGAAGAUUUGCCUUGUGAAGCAGCAACAGAAAAAUGAUCUAAAGCCAGGAAUGGAGAAGUGAAUAUCUAUCUAUCUAUCUAACUUACACAUUCUUGUCAAAGUCAUAUUUACAGUCACUUCAUAGAUUGACACACACACAAAAAAAACCAGGACCUUUACUAAAUGACAGGUGUAUAUACUUUUUUUGUCAAAACAAAUUUCCUUGCCCUGUAUUGCUAAUUUUUAAUUCAUUUAUGGUACUCAUCAGAUUGACAUUGAUUCACCCUAUCAUCCUCCUUAGUUGAGACCCCAUUUUUUUCUAUAUUUUAGUCUACUAUUUGAAUAUCUUUUCUUCUCACCAUAAAUACACAUUAACACAAAUUAACUGCUUAAUCUGCCCAUCCUUCAUUUCUACCUUUAUUUAGAGCUAUAUAUGUCCGUAAGCAUUAAAGUUGUGUUGUAUGUGCUUUUAAAUAUAUAUGUACAAUACAUAUUUAAUACACACAUUCUACUGCAACUUGCUUUUUCACUCAGCAAUUUUUAUUUACAAUCUAGUGGAAAGAGAAUGGUGAGAACAGCAGGAGGUAUUUGAGUGUUACCUUAAGGUUCAAGCUUCUCUGAGAUUGCAAACUACCUCUCCCUACAAAAAAGUCAAGAUAUUUAUGCAUCAAUACCCCUUAGCAAUGUGACUGUUGGUAAUCACAUCAAAAGGAUAUAAUUCUUCCUGGAACUUGAAUGGGAACCUCGUUGUGAAUAAAAAGAGUUAGAGAGAUUAUAUUGCCACCAUGGAAGAGGAGGAGCUGGAAGGAGAUUCUGAAGCCUUGGGACAAAGCUGGUGCUGCGGCAGUCAGAGCAGAGAGACAGAAUGAUGCCACUGAUUGCUGUGCUUUUGGAGACUGUUCUACUUCUGAAUUUCCAAUUCAGUGAAAUAAUGCCUGUCCUCAUUUAUUAGCCUUUUAGAGUUGGGUUUUCUGGUUUGCUUUGUUUAAAGUAUUCAAAAUGGCACAUACUUCUACUUAGCUUUAAUGUUUCUUCUUUUUAUUUAUCUUAGGCUCUGCUGCUGUCCUGUCCAUAAGGUUAUUUGUUGGUAAAAUAUUAAACUACAGGAAACAUAACAGCCUCAGAAAAGCAUGACUCAACAUGAGCCUGGGACAACUCAGGGUCUCUCUACUGUGCACAGCAUUUGUUCUGCUUUCAAGGCUCCCCACAGCAUCUGAAGCUUUACAUCCCUGGAGGCAACUGCCCAUAUGUUUACCUUUAUUACCAACUGCAGUUUCCAGGCAUCUGCUAAAUUACAAUUUUGAGUGCUUAAUGGUGAUUUCAUUUGUGUAAAAAAAAAGCGGGGAGACUCUUUGCCCCUCAUUAACUUAGAAUGGCAUUGCACCACACCGUAGAGCUGGCAUAUAGGUAUAUUGAAAGAAGUGGGUAGAGCUAAGAGGAUUAGAAGCUUAUGUGUGCCGUGAGGAGAAGCUGAGACUCAGGUUAGCAUCUCACUGUAUUUCUGUGAGGAGGAGAUAUUGGUGCAAGAUCUCAAGCAGACAAGCAAAAUCCAUCCCUAUCCAACAACUCCUACCUAUUGAGCAAAUGAUUUAAAAAGUGGUUACUGUGCCAUCAGAAAAACUGUUGGGGAUUGAUGUGUCUCUUUUUGUUGAACUGGCUGAGUAGAUAAGUACACAGAAUAACUUAUACCAUCACUUUAUAUUUACGCUUACCUAAUAUGAUAUUGUUA